ACGUCAACCAGGAUGUGAGGUCAUUGAGUGAAUGUGUGUGUGUGGAGCGAAUGUGAGAGUGGUUGUCCGUAUGCUUGAAUGUGUGUGUGUUUUGUGAGUGUGUGAGAGAAUGAAUGAGAUCAUUUAAAAAAAAAAAUCUACACCGUGAUCUUAUUUGAUCUGUUCCGAGUUGUUGCCCUGCUCGGAUACAGAGAUGAUAAUAACCGACUCGGGAGCUUUUGUAGCGAUGAUCGCGAGGCUUUCCACAAAACUCGGGCAUCCACAGUUGAAGCUGUGGUUAGAAAUGAUGAAUCGAUCAGAUAUACUAGAGCAGGCAGCGCGCUGGAUCUCGGUCCGGUGGGCCUCGCUUGUUCGCUGAGUAUACCGGCGAUUCUGAUCUCA
Non-coding RNA from Puntigrus tetrazona (Sumatra barb), 381 nucleotides. RefSeq annotates it as small Cajal body-specific RNA 2. The record is from RefSeq and is a predicted model, not a curated record. The transcript has a single exon. NCBI's taxonomy places the organism in Eukaryota, Metazoa, Chordata, Actinopteri, Cypriniformes, Cyprinidae.